CGCGCGCAAGAGAGAAUAUCCAAAGCAAGUGUCCGAAUCCAACAAACAAAAUCCGUUGUAGCUUUUCAGCUUUGGAAAUUGAACUUUUCAAGAUUGCAAAUGAAUUUCGUUAGGCAACCACUUGAUCUCUGGUUUCUGCCUUCUCUCUACGAGAUUCAAAUCCACCAAGAACAGCCCCAUCCAUCAUUCUGCAAUGUAAACAUUUCUUUUUUAAAGUCAGUUGUGGCUUCUCUUUCCUGCUUCUGUUAGUUUUCAACUGACUAGGACUUUGUUUGAUAAAUAGUCUGAAAGAGGAUUUUCGUCGGUCGGAAUUAAGGUAUAUGACCAUCAUCUUUUUACAUAAACUGGCUUUAUUUGAAUUGGCUCCUUUUCUUCGAAUAUGAAAGCUUUGUUUCACUUGGCUUUGCCUUCAGCCAACUGGUUAAGCCAUGGUAUGUGAAGCCGGGCAUGGUUAUUGAUAUGUUCCUGUGUUAUUAUUCCUGCAGUGUUUAAAGCAUUCAUCACAGUUCAACAUUGGGUUCUGGUUAAUUCUCUUUUUUCUUUGGGUAGUGUUUGUCUAGUUGGGGGAAUGCCAGCUUUAUAUAUUGGGAGAAUUUAGGGAAAUUAGUUUUCUUUGAAUAAGAAAAUUGAGAAAAUAGAAUUUUGCCUGAUACUAAAUUACUGCUGAUACAUAGAAUUAAUCAACUAAAAAAAUACGCUGCAAUCAAAAUCAUUUUUUGAGCAGAAUCCUUUUCUGCAAUAGCACUCUGGAAAGAUUAUUCGAAGAGGUUAUUCGUUUGAUUUUAUUCUCAAGAUGCUGCCCAAAAUUCACUUUUCCUAGCAAAUUUAGCCAGUCAACUGGGAAAUCCACUCUUGGGUACCAUACGUAUAAAGGAACUUGUUUGAGUCACUUUGAAUAGAUAAGAUCGCGGUGGUUAGAUUGAGGUAGUAACUAGGAAAGAAAGCACAUUGUAAAGCACCUCUGAGUUUUAUAUCUGGAAAGGAGAUUCUGGCGGUACUUACAAAAGACUUGUAAAUUCAAUUUUGAUAAAGGAAUGUUAGACAGAUCCUGAUUAAUUGAAGUUGACAAAAGAACAGUUAACAAAACAUAUGUUCGAAAGUUGAACAGAUGUUGACUAAAGGAUGUACAAAGUACAGUUACCAAAAUGCAGAAGCAAACUUUCAAAGAAUGAAGGAUGAUCAUUUGUUAGUAAGUAGUUCAAUUCCAUUUAGGUUAAUUGUAGCCCUCUUUGAUGACUAAUUUAUCAAAGGAUGCCAAAAUUUCUCAGGUUUUCUAGAAAUGUUUCUCCCACAGAAGUGCCAUCCUUAAUGAAUACAGCAGGAUAACCAAGUGGAGCUUCUACCCAGGCUUCAGAACCUUGUUCCGUGAAUAGCUUUCCUGACCAGAUAUGUUUCCAGGGAUAAGUUUCACCCUCUGGAAAAUAGGCCUUGACAUUUUGCUUGCCCUUGUCUAGAACAGGCACCACUAGUAUUUCAGUACCAAUUAAGAAUUGCUGGUAACUCAAGUUGUGCACAUGCCUAUCAUUUGGAUAGUGGAGAAAAAGGUGGCGGCAAAUGGGGAGGCCUUUCUGGGAUGCUUCCUGUUUUCAAAGAACAAGGAAUGAGAGAUUUGUUAGAUCCUCCAUUCAAGUUAACUGAAUUGAAGUGAAAAUUAGACAAAUUAAUCUCACAUAUUACCUUCACUAGUUGGCUUCUGUAGAAAUACCAAGCUUUAUACAUUUUAGCACAGCGUGCAAAAAGUGAUAAAGUUCUCUGAUUCGAGUAGAAUUGGCUGUUGCAAGUUGGCUUGUUUCCCUGCUUGGAGAAUAUAAUUGGAAUGAGCAAACUGUAAGAUCAUAUAAAUCAUUGUCCUCUGGUGAAGCAAUAAUAAUAGUUUGAUAUACAGAAAUGCAAGACAUAUCCUAUUAUUAUUUUUAAAAAUUUUCUUUUUCUAAUUCAAUUCAGUAAAUGUGUUUAUUGCUAAGUGAACAUUUGUAAAUAUUAAGGCUUUGGUAGCAUCACGGAAUCAUCAUAUUACAGAGAAAAACAAAUUGUAGGAAUUUAUGUUACUGGAGACAUAUAGUGAUUAAAACAAUAGAUGUUCCACUUAUUGUCAACUUGAUGAUUAUGAUGCGUGUUUUAUGAAUCACAGAUGAGUGUUUGAACUUACUUCAUGUGUCCGGAAAACAGUGGUGAAAGCAUUUAGUUCCAUCCAUCGAAUGAGCAACUCUUCACUUCUGUUAUACUUGAUAAAAGGCAAGUUUACUGCACAGUAGCCUCCAAUAUCACUGUGAUUGAAAGCAUAUCCAGAAAGUCCACUGCUCAGUAGGCCAACAACAGCACUUUUUAUCCCAUCAUUAGCCUGCCAACUAACCAUUUGGUCUCCUUCCCAAAAUAGCAUCCCCCAUUUGGGACUAUCCCUGAAACCGGCUCUCAUGAAGAAGACCAAAGCCUCUUCUGGGUCCUCUCUCUCCUUACCCACACGGUUUGCUUUCCAUUCUUCCACAAACUCUCGGUUUAUUUGGGCCCAUAGCUCUGGGUAUCUGUUAUGGGCAGAGAUUGGAUCUUCACCUGAAUAAAGGUUGGCAUCUACAGGCAGACCUUCGCCAAAAUCAGCCAUCCACCCUCUGACGCCAUCAUCAGCCAUUUCCUGUAAAACCUGCUUGAACCAACUUGCAGUAUCUGGGUGUGUCAAAUCCAACAUUCCCACAUUAAAAGCUGUGUUUGGAACCAUAUAUGGUUUUCCAUGUUUGUCUUUCACUAAGAUGUCCAACUUUUUGGCCUCCUCAAAAUGAUUUCUCCUUCUGUUUGGUUUCUCAUCCGCCGGAGCUAGACAAGGGUUGCAAUAUGUCAUCACUUUAAUAUGCUGAGCACCAAGAUCUUGAACUAGUUGCUUCCAUCCCUUAUACCUUGUUGUAUCCACUUCCCAGUUCCACCACAAUUGUGAUCCAAUCAAAGUCUCCCUCUGUCCUACCCAAUCCUGCAACCAAAAUGCAGAGAUGGGAACCUUAUAGGCCUGCAGUUCAUCCCAAAUGCGCCGUACGACAUCUGUUCCACCCUGCAUUCCGACAACAGCUCCAGAUAUAAUCCACUUAGGAAGCUCAGGAGGCCUCCCAAUAGUUUCUGUGAAGUGUUCAAUAAGCUCAGCAGGUGAGUUGCCAUGCAAUAUUCUUCCUAGAGCUGAAUUGCUGUGUAUCUGUAUUUGAACUCUAUCAUGUCUCGUUAAAUCAAAAACAGAGUAAUCAUAUCCAUCAAGAUAAAGAGACCUCAUCUCGGAUGUCAUGUAGAAUGGUGAAGGAGCAUAAGUUGUACUCCAAUUACCGCCAGCUCUGUAGCUAACCAAGUUGAUUGCAAAAGUAAUAGGUUGAUCUCCUCUUCCAAUCCCCUGUUCUUGAACAAAAAUGGGUACCCUUUUCCCUUUGAAGUCCAUGUGGGAAAACUGCUCUCCAAAACCAUAGAACCUCUCAUUGGCUUCACUUGAAUAGCUAAGGCAGAUUCUGUUGAACUGUGUAAACUCUGGAACCUUGGUUUCUAUUUCCUCCGAUGAAGAAACUGCAACAAACCCUCUAGGCCUUGUAAAGAAUCUACACCAUCCAAGCUUUCGUUUUCGAAUCCUUCGUAGCUUCAACCUUAACCUCUGGUAUUUUCCUAAACGAGUUGGUGAAGCUCUUCGUGGGAAUUCAAAGUUGGGUUCUCCAACUCUCACUUGAAAACCAAUCUGGUUAAGGUUCUUCUGAUCAAAGAGAACCCAAUACCUUGCGUAAGUGGGUGGGCCCGUUGUGUCAAAAUCUAUAUGCUUGUAAAUGCUAGAUUCUGGAAGUCUCUUCUUUCUUUUGCUGAAUAACUUGCCUGUUAUUAACAAAACAGGAAAUUGGGUAUCUUUCAAAUCUUUUCUCUGGUCAAAACUUGAACACCGAGAUGAAGAAUCAAGAUCACUAGCCUCCUCUAAAUGGUUACCAUCCAACUUAUUGAUCACUCUUAUAUCUUCAAUCGUUUGGUGGUCACAAACCACAAGAACGUUCCCAUCUUUUAUAGCAAAGGAUCCCCUGCUUUCUUCAAUCUCUGUCUCAGCCAAAGCUGCAGAGACAAAAGCUUGUCCAGGAAUGGUGGACCAGAGGGCUCUUGUUGGUUGAGACUGGUGAGAAAUUGAGAGAUACCCACCAUUUCUAGAGCUCCAAAGAAGCUGGAAAUCUCUCCCAACUGGGAAGAUUUGGUGUGAAGGCAGUGUUCGGGAAUUGGCAAAAAGGCUUCCUUGAAUGAAGGGAAGAGACCUUGGCGUUGAUGGGAAGGGGUUGUUUAGGUGCCUGUGGUGCUUUUGGGUGAUCUUGAGGGUUGCCAUGUUGGCGUUAAUAGAACUUGUUAGUUUAUUAUAAUUUAUUUAUAGAUUUAGAAACGCGUCAUUUUUUCAGACUUUGUGACUUUUUUUGUUGGAAAAUUCUUAUAUUUCUUUGCUUAAAAUCGUAAUGUAAUUG
RNAcentral lists this unclassified non-coding RNA (4451 nucleotides) under Hevea brasiliensis (rubber tree). The record is from RNAcentral. Lineage: Eukaryota; Viridiplantae; Streptophyta; Magnoliopsida; Malpighiales; Euphorbiaceae.